RNAcentral lists this long non-coding RNA (469 nucleotides) under Corvus moneduloides (New Caledonian crow). RNAcentral's name for it is "lncRNA (ENSCMUG00000019948.1)". The record is from RNAcentral. Lineage: Eukaryota; Metazoa; Chordata; Aves; Passeriformes; Corvidae.
GCUAAAGGCUUCUGAUAUUCUGUAGAAGGGGCCCCAUGUGAUCCAUCCUCUACGUCUCCACAGACACAGAGGACAACUGCUCUGCUGAGGUCAACAUUUAAAUGGAUGAGCUAAACGAAGUGCAAGAGGAAGAGGGACAGACACAGGGGAGACCUUACAGAGCACAGUGCACUGCAAUGAUUGCCUGUCCAGCAGCUGGCGGAGAAGGGGUGCCAGGAGGUCCUUCUCCUCAGAUGGGCUUGCUUCACAUCGUCCUUGGCCCUUUAAGGAAUACUCUGUGCAUGAGGCAUGCCAGAUGCAAUAUGUUGGAAUGUGGAAAUCUUCCUCCUAAGUACUGUUCUGAGACCAGAACCUGCACCCUUGCCUCACUGAUACUGCUGCAGAAGUGCUAGCUGUUGCUGAGGUAAAAAAAUUCCUUUUGAAAGGUUAGAUUCUUCAAGUUUUGUAGUGGCUGAAAUAGAUGAUGUGU